RNAcentral lists this ribosomal RNA (449 nucleotides) under uncultured bacterium. RNAcentral's name for it is "partial 16S ribosomal RNA". It matches the Rfam family "Bacterial small subunit ribosomal RNA", at positions 29 to 523 of the family's 1533-position model. The record is from RNAcentral.
AACGAACGCUGGCGGCAUGCCUAACACAUGCAAGUCGAACGAGAUCUUCGGGUCUAGUGGCGCACGGGUGCGUAACGCGUGGGAAUCUGCCCUUUGGUUCGGAAUAACAGUUAGAAACGACUGCUAAUACCGGAUGAUGACGAAAGUCCAAAGAUUUAUCGCCAGAGGAUGAGCCCGCGUAGGAUUAGCUAGUUGGUGUGGUAAAGGCGCACCAAGGCGACGAUCCUUAGCUGGUCUGAGAGGAUGAUCAGCCACACUGGGACUGAGACACGGCCCAGACUCCUACGGGAGGCAGCAGUGGGGAAUAUUGGACAAUGGGCGAAGGCCUGAUCCAGCAAUGCCGCGUGAGUGAUGAAGGCCUUAGGGUUGUAAAGCUCUUUUACCCGGGAUGAUAAUGACAGUACCGGGAGAAUAAGCUCCGGCUAACUCCGUGCCAGCCGCCGCUGUAA